CAUGUGUUUGUGUUGGUGCAUCAUAGCUUGUCUACUUAUGUAUAAAAGAUUAAUUUUGCUUGCUUUUUGAGUUAAUCUUUUAUUUAAUUGUCUAUACUAAUCGUUAAUUUCUCUCGUUUCCCCUUCCACUUUUCACCCAGACAUCUGGUUUUCAAACACGAUAAAUAUCCGUAAAGCUUCAAAUUGUAACCUUGUUAACAGUCUCACAAGAAGCGAAACUUGUCUUUGAGUAUUGUAAUUUUGAAUAUUCAAAUGAGUGUCUAUAAAAAAAGAAAAUUAUUUAUGCUUACAAUAAGCAGAAUUAAUUUGAUUAUCUAUUUCUCCCCCCGACAUCUUGAUGAAUGAUUGAUAGGUAUAAUGUUAUAUCAAUAGCAGUGUUAAUGUCGGUACUAUCUCCUUGCUUCUUCCCCAGCUAUAUUAAUAUCAUUGACACUCUUUAAGAUUACCAAAUAGUCCUUUUUCUCAUCUUCUCCCUCGUAAUUAGAAUAAGGGUUCUUGAUAUCUAUUGCCUACAGUUGCUCCUUUUUCUUUAGAUGUGCUUUUCAUUGAAACAUUUUUGAAUUCUAACACGGUACACUUUGGCACGCUGGUUUAUAUAUUACUUGCAGAUCAUACGAGAGUUGAGUCUGAAGCAAGCAGAGCACAGGGCAGCAACCUCGGGAGGGAAUAAAUUAUGACUUGAAUUAUGUGUAUGUGAAAGCCUUUCUGCAGGCAACUUUGCAAAAAUGAAGCAAUCUUUAAUUCUUUUUAUUAAAAUGAAUUUUAUUUUUAUUUUUCUUUUCCUAGUGUUGAUGAUGUUAGGUGCAUUGAUAAUCAAGUUGAAAGAUUUCGAAUGUCUAGUUUGAAUAGUCUUUUUCUUUUUUUUUUUUCUUUUUUUUUUCUUUUUUUUGUCAAGGAUAUGAAUCUAUUAUAAAAUUUUUCUGGAGUGUGGCUUUGUGUA
This is a long non-coding RNA of Olea europaea var. sylvestris, 940 nucleotides long. RefSeq lists it as uncharacterized. The transcript has 2 exons. Lineage: Eukaryota; Viridiplantae; Streptophyta; Magnoliopsida; Lamiales; Oleaceae. The record is from RefSeq and is a predicted model, not a curated record.